UAGGGAAUCUUCGGCAAUGGACGAAAGUCUGACCGAGCAACGCCGCGUGAGUGAAGAAGGUUUUCGGAUCGUAAAACUCUGUUGUUAGAGAAGAACAAGGACGUUAGUAACUGAACGUCCCCUGACGGUAUCUAACCAGAAAGCCACGGCUAACUACGUGCCAGCAGCCGCGGUAAUACGUAGGUGGCAAGCGUUGUCCGGAUUUAUUGGGCGUAAAGCGAGCACAGGCGGUUUCUUAAGUCUGAUGUGAAAGCCCCCGGCUCAACCGGGGAGGGUCAUUGGAAACUGGGAGACUUGAGUGCAGAAGAGGAGAGUGGAAUUCCAUGUGUAGCGGUGAAAUGCGUAGAUAUAUGGAGGAACACCAGUGGCGAAGGCGGCUCUCUGGUCUGUAACUGACGCUGAGGCUCGAAAGCGUGGGGAGCAAACAGG
Molecule: ribosomal RNA, 429 nt
Filed under: Chloroflexota bacterium
Lineage: Bacteria; Bacillati; Chloroflexota
Also listed under: 1 other name
Description: Chloroflexi bacterium partial 16S ribosomal RNA
Rfam family: Bacterial small subunit ribosomal RNA
Source: RNAcentral